Molecule: ribosomal RNA, 478 nt
Filed under: uncultured bacterium
Lineage: Bacteria
Description: partial 16S ribosomal RNA
Rfam family: Bacterial small subunit ribosomal RNA
Source: RNAcentral
GAUGAACGCUGGCGGCGUGCUUAACACAUGCAAGUCGAACGAGAAGUGAAGACGGAAACCUUCGGGCGGAAGGCUUUAUUUCGAGUGGCGGACGGGUGAGUAACGCGUGGGUAACCUGCCUCAUACAGGGGGAUAACAGUUGGAAACGACUGUUAAUACCGCAUAAGACCACAGCACCGCAUGGUGCGGGGGUAAAAACUCCGGUGGUAUGAGAUGGACCCGCGUUCGAUUAGCCAGUUGGCGGGGUAACGGCCCACCAAAGCGACGAUCGAUAGCCGAUCUGAGAGGAUGACCGGCCACAUUGGGACUGAGACACGGCCCAAACUCCGACGGGAAGCAGCAGUGGGGAAUAUUGCACAAUGGGGGAAACCCUGAUGCAGCGACGCCGCGUGAGUGAAGAAGUAUUUCGGUAUGUAAAGCUCUAUCAGCAGGGAAGAAAAUGACGGUACCGGAGUAAGAAGCCCCGGCUAACUACGUG